Molecule: long non-coding RNA, 531 nt
Filed under: Equus caballus (horse)
Lineage: Eukaryota; Metazoa; Chordata; Mammalia; Perissodactyla; Equidae
Description: lncRNA (ENSECAG00000050301.1)
Source: RNAcentral
UGCAAUUCUUCGUUUUCAUUUUUUAUGCUCCUCCGUAUUACAGGAAAAAGAGAAGAUGAAUUUUCAGCUUCUUUCUCAAUUGAUGGCACAGCAUAGCAGAUUUCAUUAAGCUCCUGGGGAGUAUUUAUAGUUUGAAAGAAGACUAAACGGAGAAAGCAACACUGCGCGGGAAGGCACGGACGGCUGGGUGAGGAGCCGCAGGCCCUGGGGGGACGUCGAUCAGGAUUGAUCCCCUCGCAGCACCCUCCGACACUCUUGCCCUGGAACGGCCUUUGGGAUACAUGCGGAACGUCAGUCCUGUCAGGGAUAUCGUCAAAAGCCAAAUCAAUGAAAAAGGAAAGAUGCCUGUUACUUCACUAAAAAAUUAUAAGACACUGUCCUACUCAUUUUUUCAUUUAUUUAACAAUUAAUUAUUGGGUGGUUGCUAUGUACUAGAGUUAUACCAUCUUUAAUUUUGGGCUCAAUGAAUUGUGCUAAUUUUGGAAAUUAAAACAUAUAAUUCAAAGCAAACAAAAUAAAAAAAUUAAUAAU